UGGGGAAUAUUGCACAAUGGGCGCAAGCCUGAUGCAGCCAUGCCGCGUGUAUGAAGAAGGCCUUCGGGUUGUAAAGUACUUUCAGCGGGGAGGAAGGGAGUAAAGUUAAUACCUUUGCUCAUUGACGUUACCCGCAGAAGAAGCACCGGCUAACUCCGUGCCAGCAGCCGCGGUAAUACGGAGGGUGCAAGCGUUAAUCGGAAUUACUGGGCGUAAAGCGCACGCAGGGGGUUUGUUAAGUCAGAUGUGAAAUCCCCGGGCUCAACCUGGGAACUGCAUCUGAUACUGGCAAGCUUGAGUCUCGUAGAGGGGGGUAGAAUUCCAGGUGUAGCGGUGAAAUGCGUAGAGAUCUGGAGGAAUACCGGUGGCGAAGGCGGCCCCCUGGACGAAGACUGACGCUCAGGUGCGAAAGCGUGGGGAGCAAACA
RNAcentral lists this ribosomal RNA (427 nucleotides) under uncultured bacterium. RNAcentral's name for it is "partial 16S ribosomal RNA". It matches the Rfam family "Bacterial small subunit ribosomal RNA", at positions 355 to 774 of the family's 1533-position model. The record is from RNAcentral.